RNAcentral lists this ribosomal RNA (253 nucleotides) under uncultured bacterium. RNAcentral's name for it is "partial 16S ribosomal RNA". It matches the Rfam family "Bacterial small subunit ribosomal RNA", at positions 524 to 776 of the family's 1533-position model. The record is from RNAcentral.
UACGUAGGGUGCGAGCGUUAAUCGGAAUUACUGGGCGUAAAGGGUGCGUAGGUGGUCUAUUAAGUCAGUGCUGAAAUAUCCCGGCUUAACCGGGAGGGUGGCAUUGAUACUGAUGGACUUGAGUAAAGUUGAGGUUGGCGGAAUUGACGGUGUAGCGGUGAAAUGCUUAGAUAUCGUCAAGAACACCUAUUGCGAAGGCAGCUAACUAAGCUUUAACUGACGCUGAGGCACGAAAGUGUGGGGAUCAAACAGG